GACGAACGCUGGCGGCGUGCUUAACACAUGCAAGUCGAACGGAAAGGCCCUUCGGGGUACUCGAGUGGCGAACGGGUGAGUAACACGUGGGUGAUCUGCCCUGCACUUUGGGAUAAGCCUGGGAAACUGGGUCUAAUACCGAAUAGGACCACGCGCUUCAGGGUGUGUGGUGGAAAGCUUUUGCGGUGUGGGAUGGGCCCGCGGCCUAUCAGCUUGUUGGUGGGGUAAUGGCCUACCAAGGCGACGACGGGUAGCCGGCCUGAGAGGGUGACCGGCCACACUGGGACUGAGAUACGGCGCAGACUCCUACGGGAGGCAGCAGUGGGGAAUAUUGCACAAUGGGCGCGAGCCUGAUGCAGCGACGCCGCGUGAGGGAUGACGGCCUUCGGGUUGUAAACCUCUUUCAAUAGGGACGAAGCGCAAGUGACGGUACCUAUAGAAGAAGCACCGGCCAACUACGUG
RNAcentral lists this ribosomal RNA (462 nucleotides) under uncultured bacterium. Its description in RNAcentral is "partial 16S ribosomal RNA". It matches the Rfam family "Bacterial small subunit ribosomal RNA", at positions 28 to 507 of the family's 1533-position model. The record is from RNAcentral.